ACUCCUGCGGGAGGCAGCAGUGGGGAAUAUUGCACAAUGGGCGCAAGCCUGAUGCAGCGACGCCGCGUGGGGGAUGAAGGCCUUCGGGUUGUAAACUCCUUUCGCUAGGGACGAAGCUUUUUUGUGACGGUACCUAGAUAAGAAGCACCGGCUAACUACGUGCCAGCAGCCGCGGUAAUACGUAGGGUGCGAGCGUUGUCCGGAAUUACUGGGCGUAAAGGGCUCGUAGGUGGUUUGUCGCGUCGUCUGUGAAAUUCUGGGGCUUAACUCCGGGCGUGCAGGCGAUACGGGCAUAACUUGAGUGCUGUAGGGGUAACUGGAAUUCCUGGUGUAGCGGUGAAAUGCGCAGAUAUCAGGAGGAACACCGAUGGCGAAGGCAGGUUACUGGGCAGUUACUGACGCUGAGGAGCGAAAGCAUGGGUAGCGAACAGGAUUAGAUACCCCAGUAGUCCCAUG
This 456-nucleotide ribosomal RNA is filed under the name uncultured organism. Its description in RNAcentral is "partial 16S ribosomal RNA". It matches the Rfam family "Bacterial small subunit ribosomal RNA", at positions 335 to 799 of the family's 1533-position model. The record is from RNAcentral.